GAUGAAGAACGCAGCGAAUUGCGAUAAGUAAUGUGAAUUGCAGAUUUUCAGUGAAUCAUCGAAUCUUUGAACGCACCUUGCGCUCCUUGGUAUUCCGAGGAGCAUGCAUGCCUGUUUGAGUGUCGUUAAAUUCUCAGAGCCCUCCCCACAAGUUGGGUUCGGAUUGGUGGAGGAUGCAUUGGACUUGGACUUUUUGACUCCCUUUGCUUUGCUUCUCUGAAAUGGAUUGGCCUACGGCUGCGAUUCACGAACCUUGUCGUCGGUAUGAUAAUGUCUUACCUGCUUCUAACUCGUGCCAGCCCGGCCCAGACGAGAGACGGUCGUCUCUAUCUAUCUACAAUUUGACCUCAAAUCAGGCAGGACUACCCGCUGAACUUAAGCAUAUCAAUAAGCGGAGGA
Molecule: unclassified non-coding RNA, 399 nt
Filed under: soil metagenome
Description: partial contains 5.8S ribosomal RNA, internal transcribed spacer 2, and large subunit ribosomal RNA
Rfam family: 5.8S ribosomal RNA (bases 1-125)
Source: RNAcentral